CUUUACUAAGUAUCCAAGACCAACAAGAAUUUCCCAUCUCACCCUACCACCACCCAGAAGAGGAGCACAGAGAUGGGGGAGAGAGUGGCUGCAUCUGGCACCCAGCCAGAGGAGUCCGUGCAGGGA
Unclassified non-coding RNA from Cercocebus atys (sooty mangabey), 126 nucleotides. The record is from Ensembl. Lineage: Eukaryota; Metazoa; Chordata; Mammalia; Primates; Cercopithecidae.